CACCUCUAUCACUGUUCCUGGAUGAACCUCAGACCUGUUCUGUAGGUAGCCAGCCCAUCUGUGGGAUGGACCCCUUGUGCUUGUGUUGCAGAUUGUCUCCAGUAAACAGAUGGUCCCUCUCAAAACUAUUGUUGAGAAGAUGAAUGUUCAUCAAAACCAGGAACUUUUCAACCAAUGGUAGCAAAGAUGACUUAGAAAUCCAGAUGAAAGUGAAACCAGAACAAUAUCCUCGCUAUUAGUUGUCACCUCCUACUAUGUAUAUCCACUUGAUGGCAGCAUUUGAACACAGAUCCACCCAAAGCUCUUCAAGAAUGUCUCUGCAUUUUGCAUCAGGAAGUUCAUAACCCAACUCCAGUGACUGGUGAUGGGAAAAGGGCAGAAAAGGAAAACCUGCCCAUGGUUCUUCUCUUGCAGGUAACUACUGCUCAUGACCUGGUAGCUGUAGCAAAGCCAAAACCACAUCUGCAUUUGUAGCGGGAGCCAGCAGUGUUAUCCCAGCAGGAUUACUGGUCUCCAUUGGAACUGAAUUGGAGAGUAGAGACCUGACAUCUACAAAGCUAUAGGGAUAAUGGUACUUCUGGAAAGGCUCUGUCAAUAAGAAUAUCCGGUCUCAAUCUUCACCUGUCAUCUAUGAACAUAUACAUAUCUACAUUUUUGUAUGUAAUGCUGGGUUUUGGUGCCCUUCCUGUAGUAUGUAAAAUUCACACAUUCUUCUAAAAUGCGCAUGGAUUUUGAUAGACUGAACACAAACAGUAUGCACUUUUAAAUCAAAACUGCAUGAGUGAAGAUAGCCUAAAUGUAUGGACACUGAGAUGAGAUAAACGAUGAAAGAAAAACAAAAUAUUUUAUACUAAUUCAGGUAUAUGAAAAGCUUUUUGUACAGUGUACAGUCCUAGCCUCUCACAUUUUACUAGUUUGUUUGCGCUUUUUUUCAACCCAAAAGGACAUGCACAGAAACUUUGUAAUGUCAUUUUCAUUCCCAUACUACCCAUGCCAUGUGGUAAAAUUUUGAUUUGUCUGCCUCUGCCUUACUAAUGUUGAAAGGUGUUCAAACUAGAAGGGGGAAAACACAUUUUAAUUUUAAACAACCUUUUUUUUUUUUUUUUUUUGUAACAAAUUCAAGGCAGAAUUUCACCCAGUCUUCCAGAUCAGUAGCAGACAUCUCACAACUUUCUGAGAGUUGUACUUCUCAAAUAUUUCCAGCAAGGAAUGGUUAAUAUUUUGGCAGGCUGGAUAAAUGUGGAGUUCUUUGGACUUAUUCCAUUCUACCUUCCAGUGUUUAAAUUACUGGAAUUGUUUUAAGCGUCCUGCAUCUUAUCAUGGGGCAAGUGCAAGCUUUUAAGGGAUUUGAGUCUCAACUCUCACCUGUGCCUGGUUUUCUUCCUAAAUAAUGGGAUUUGGAGGACUGAGGAGAUCUGACUGAUCUAAUGGCUGGGAGCCUGGAUUGCUGAGAGAUAUAAGAGGCAGUCUGUUUGCAGGGAGUGUUGGAGCAAUCCCUGUGGUUUUGACUCUGAGAAAGAAUUAGUGGUGACUCCUUGCUGAGGAGGAACAAAGAUUGCCUGAAAGCCAGAGAUGAAAGCGUAAGGAAUUGCCUGUGGACUUAGUGGUGAGAGAGACCCAUAAGGGGACCAAGUCUGGUGUUGAGCCCUGUCUGGCAGAGUUUCUCUUUAGACGACUGCAGAGUUGCUAUACUAUUCAUGAAAUGAGCUUGUCAGAGAAGACCUUAAUUUGUGCUUUAGUACAGAACAUGUGAGAAGUUGAGGGACCUACG
Molecule: long non-coding RNA, 1771 nt
Organism: Cygnus olor (mute swan)
Lineage: Eukaryota; Metazoa; Chordata; Aves; Anseriformes; Anatidae
Exons: 3
Source: RefSeq, a predicted model, not a curated record